GGUGUUGAUAGCAAAGAGGUUCCACCCGUUCCCAUUCCGAACACGGAAGUUAAGCUCUUUAGCGCCUACAAUACUUGGUUGGUGACGACCUGGGAAGAUUGGACGAUGCC
Molecule: ribosomal RNA, 110 nt
Filed under: uncultured Ruminococcus sp.
Lineage: Bacteria; Bacillati; Bacillota; Clostridia; Eubacteriales; Oscillospiraceae
Source: RNAcentral